Catharus ustulatus (Swainson's thrush) is the source of this 1223-nucleotide long non-coding RNA. RefSeq lists it as uncharacterized. NCBI's taxonomy places the organism in Eukaryota, Metazoa, Chordata, Aves, Passeriformes, Turdidae. The transcript is spliced from 4 exons. The record is from RefSeq and is a predicted model, not a curated record.
AUUACUUCAGUUUGCUUUCUGAUUUAAUUGCAAAAUCACUCAGACUUUGUGUGUUUUCUCCGUGAGUAAUCCAAAUUUAGAUUUCACUGUUGGUGCUACCUGGCUUUUUUGUGUGUUUGUGUUUAAUGCAGCUGAAAGUUAUUAUGUAAAAUGGGUAAAUUGGAGCCUUUAAAGGAGCUGCCAACUUGCAUUUGCCUGAGUUACUUCAGCAGAAUUCCAGACACGUCAUCCUGAUUUCACAAGUCUGCAGAGAUCUCCAGAGUGGACUGACCCAUCUGUGUGAGCUGCCAAAAGCUGAAGACAACCACUUUAUCUGCAAGAGAAUAUUCAUUUAUGGAACUUCACUGGUGGCAUAGGUUUGGAAACAGGAAAAGAACCUUAAAGCCUUCCUCAGGAGAGAGAUUCACUCACAAUUUUCUCCAGUGUCAUUCAGGGGCCAAGUUUUCAAGUCUUCCAGAUUUGGACUUGUUUUGAUAUCACUGCAAAAUCCUGCAAGACUUCUGCCAACAGCAAGGCCAAUGGGUUUGAAGGCAGAUGGCAUUUCCAGUACCUAAAGCCUGGUCAGGUUGAUUGCUUUGAGUCUGUAAGGUCAUCAUGGUUGAAGGCAUGAAGAUGAGGACAUCAAAGCCUUUGCCCACUUCUGACAAUUACUCUGGAGACAAACACAGCUCAGAAGACAAAUGUUAUGAGCUACCUGUAAGUUCUGGUUCACAAAACAGAUGAGAAUCCAGAGAUACUCUUGAACUUAGAAAUGAAAAUUAUUCUCAAGGUAAUGGUUGAGCUCAUUAUCUGCUGCUCUUUCUAAAUGUAAAGUAAGGAGUGCAAGGCCCAUAUAUUCUCUCUAUACCAGCUGACAUGUUUUCUGCAUUCCUGUGUUUGCCUAAGAAGUCAUGGAUAAUCAAUUUGAUGUGCAAAAUACCCUGCAUGGGUGAGUUCUGAUACAUAUCACUUGCCAUGGCUGUGCUGUUCUGAGAGGCAAAAACUUUCAGGAAGGGAAGAGCAAGAAAAAUCUGCCUGAUAAUUUUCUCAUCAGUUUUUCUCCAAGGACAUAUCUGUAGGUGGAUUCUAUAGACAGUGUUUGGGUUUUUUCCCUCCCCCUUGACUGGCUGGUUCUGUGUGUGUCAGUUAUUUUCUCUUGCUGUAUUAGAAAUCAAAGCUACCUUAUCACUUCAGGAUAAAUAUAUCUAUAUUUAUAUCUCUGUAUCUAUCUCCUGUAAUCCUAA